This is a long non-coding RNA of Erpetoichthys calabaricus (reedfish), 303 nucleotides long. RefSeq lists it as uncharacterized. The transcript has 2 exons. The record is from RefSeq and is a predicted model, not a curated record. Lineage: Eukaryota; Metazoa; Chordata; Cladistia; Polypteriformes; Polypteridae.
CUCUCUGAUAGUCAGAGAUCCUCAGACCUCAUCAAAUGAGCUGAUCAUCAUGUUUGCUGCCCGUGUACUUCAUAUCAUGGCUGCCCUUGCUGUGGUAGCCACAUUUGCUGCUGCUGAUGUGAUGCAGCCUAUAGCUGUAAAUUCUCCUCCUGUUCCACUGUGGUAGAGGCCUUUGAAUUCUUAGAUUGAAGAAUUCAUCACUGGAGCAGAACCACUAAAGGAGCCGUCUUUUUACUCCUCCCUGUUUAACAAUGGCUCCAAUUCUGUUUCACCAAGUUCAAGAAUAAAAUCUGCUUGCAAGUC